Molecule: unclassified non-coding RNA, 391 nt
Filed under: uncultured fungus
Lineage: Eukaryota; Fungi
Description: partial contains small subunit ribosomal RNA, internal transcribed spacer 1, and 5.8S ribosomal RNA
Rfam family: Eukaryotic small subunit ribosomal RNA (bases 1-73)
Source: RNAcentral
UCAAACUUGGUCAUUUAGAGGAAGUAAAAGUCGUAACAAGGUUUCCGUAGGUGAACCUGCGGAAGGAUCAUUAUCGAAUUGUUGAGACUUGGUUGUCGCUGGCUCUCUCUUUCGCUGAGAUUGCAUGUGCACGCCUAGUUCAAACUUUUCAUUUCAACCUCCUGUGCACCUUUGUGGAUCGUAGACAAACUUUUGUCAAAGUAACAUUUGGUUUUGGGGAUUGUGGUUUUGCUUUCCUCUAUUGUUUUGUCUGCGGUUCAUGUUUUCUACAAACUAUUAAAUAUAAAAUCUAGAAUGCUUCAUAAGUUGGGACUUUAUUGACCCUUCUUAACAAUCUUAUACAAUUUUCAACAACGGAUCUCUUGGCUCUCGCAUCGAUGAAGAACGCAGC